Non-coding RNA from Bactrocera oleae (olive fruit fly), 755 nucleotides. The record is from RefSeq and is a predicted model, not a curated record. Lineage: Eukaryota; Metazoa; Arthropoda; Insecta; Diptera; Tephritidae.
UAAAUGAUUGAACUAAUGCUUGAAAUAGUACGGUCUUUAAGCGUAAAUUUUUAUAUACAGAAUGUUUACGAUUAAUUUUAGAACGCUUCUAAGCCCUUUAGUCAAGAGAUAUAUACAAGUAUAGCAUAAUCUUAACUUAGUUUAUUUUAGGUUUGAAGCCAAACAGCUAAGGGCACAGGAAGUAAGAUAAGAAGUGUAGCGAUAAAAGCUUCUACGUCACCCCACCAUGCACUUAGCCUAAGCUAGUUGAAUUUUAGAAAUAUGCCGAAGAAAGAAAUUUUCGUGAAGACAUCAAAAACGUGCCGCAUGCGAUAAUAUCGAAAAAUUUAAGAAUCGUCGUUUUGGCAUCAGAGAGAUAGCAAAGGAUCUCAACUUCAUUUACGGAUCCCUUCAACACAUUUUGGUUAUGAAGCGGUUCAAUGCUAGACUCGUUUCAAAAGACCUGAAUAUUUUGCAAAGACUACGUCGCAGUGAUGCUUGACAACGUAGCUGAGGACCCUAUGUUCAUCAAACGUUAUUUACUGGUGACGAGACAUGGGUUUAUGAAUAUGACGUCGAAACUGUCUAACAAUGUAUCGAAUGGAGCUUAAAAAAUUGAUUUACGACACUUUAAAAAUUACCUAAAAUUCAGGUCUCUAGACAAACCGCUCGAGACUACCGCUUAAUAAGCUGAAUUUUAAAAAAUUUGCCACUUUCACAAUUAAUGUAUAUUAAAUAAAAUUCAUAUAGUUUUGGAUAUGUUUUAACGACAAGUA